UGCCAGCAGCCGCGGUAACACGGGGGGCGCAAGCGUUACUCGGAAUUAUUGGGCGUAAAGGGCGCGCAGGCGGUCUUGUCCGUCAGGUGUGAAAGCUCGGGGCUCAACCCCGGAAGUGCACUUGAAACAGCAAGACUUGAAUACGGUAGAGGAGAGAGGAAUUCCUGGCGUAGCGGUGAAAUGCAUAGAUAUGACACAGAACGCCAAUUGCGAAGGCAGCUUACUAAGCUACGAUUGACGCUGAGGCGCGAAAGCGUGGGGAGCAAACAGGAUUAGAUA
RNAcentral lists this ribosomal RNA (279 nucleotides) under uncultured bacterium. RNAcentral's name for it is "partial 16S ribosomal RNA". It matches the Rfam family "Bacterial small subunit ribosomal RNA", at positions 506 to 784 of the family's 1533-position model. The record is from RNAcentral.